Molecule: ribosomal RNA, 497 nt
Filed under: uncultured bacterium
Lineage: Bacteria
Description: partial 16S ribosomal RNA
Rfam family: Bacterial small subunit ribosomal RNA
Source: RNAcentral
GACGAACGCUGGCGGCGUGCCUAAUACAUGCAAGUUGAGCGAUGAAGAUUGGUGCUUGCACCAAUUUGAAGAGCAGCGAACGGGUGAGUAACGCGUGGGGAAUCUGCCUUUGAGCGGGGGACAACAUUUGGAAACGAAUGCUAAUACCGCAUAACAACUUUAAACAUAAGUUUUAAGUUUGAAAGAUGCAAUUGCAUCACUCAAAGAUGAUCCCGCGUUGUGUUAGCUAGUUGGUGAGGUAAAGGCUCACCAAGGCGAUGAUACAUAGCCGACCUGAGAGGGUGAUCGGCCACAUUGGGACUGAGACACGGCCCAAACUCCUACGGGAGGCAGCAGUAGGGAAUCUUCGGCAAUGGACGAAAGUCUGACCGAGCAACGCCGCGUGAGUGAAGAAGGUUUUCGGAUCGUAAAACUCUGUUGGUAGAGAAGAACGUUGGUGAGAGUGGAAAGCUCAUCAAGUGACGGUAACUACACAGAAAGGGACGGCUAACUACGUG